This 296-nucleotide unclassified non-coding RNA is filed under the name uncultured Coprinellus. RNAcentral's name for it is "sequence contains 5.8S rRNA gene". The stretch from base 1 to 53 matches the Rfam family "5.8S ribosomal RNA", at positions 102 to 154 of the family's 154-position model. Lineage: Eukaryota; Fungi; Basidiomycota; Agaricomycetes; Agaricales; Psathyrellaceae. The record is from RNAcentral.
GAACGCACCUUGCGCUCCUUGGUAUUCCGAGGAGUAUGCCUGUUUGAGUGUCAUUAAAUUCUCAACCUCACCAGUUUUGUUAUGAAACUGUGUAAGGCUUGGAUGUGGGGGUUUUUGCAGGCUGCCUCUGUGCGGUCUGCUCCCCUGAAAUGUAUUAGCGAGUUCACUAAGCUCCGUCUAUUGGUGUGAUAAUUAUCUACGCCGUGGAAUGGGUUUAGACUUGCUUCUAACCGUCUGCAAAGACAACUUUUGACAAUUUGACCUCAAAUCAGGUAGGACUACCCGCUGAACUUAAG